GAGCCAGUGUGUUGUAGUGGUUUAAGCAUUGGACUAUGACUCUGGAGACCAGGGUUCAAGUCCCUGUUCAUCCA
Non-coding RNA from Phrynosoma platyrhinos (Desert horned lizard), 74 nucleotides. NCBI's taxonomy places the organism in Eukaryota, Metazoa, Chordata, Lepidosauria, Squamata, Phrynosomatidae. The record is from the annotation of a GenBank genome assembly.